This 1638-nucleotide ribosomal RNA is filed under the name Salmonella enterica subsp. enterica serovar Johannesburg. RNAcentral describes it as "partial 23S ribosomal RNA". It matches the Rfam family "Bacterial large subunit ribosomal RNA", at positions 586 to 2207 of the family's 2925-position model. Lineage: Bacteria; Pseudomonadati; Pseudomonadota; Gammaproteobacteria; Enterobacterales; Enterobacteriaceae. The record is from RNAcentral.
UUGGGGUGUGACUGCGUACCUUUUGUAUAAUGGGUCAGCGACUUAUAUUCUGUAGCAAGGUUAACCGAAUAGGGGAGCCGGAGGGAAACCGAGUCUUAACCGGGCGUUAAGUUGCAGGGUAUAGACCCGAAACCCGGUGAUCUAGCCAUGGGCAGGUUGAAGGUUGGGUAACACUAACUGGAGGACCGAACCGACUAAUGUUGAAAAAUUAGCGGAUGACCUGUGGCUGGGGGUGAAAGGCCAAUCAAACCGGGAGAUAGCUGGUUCUCCCCGAAAGCUAUUUAGGUAGCGCCUCGUGAAUUCAUCUCCGGGGGUAGAGCACUGUUUCGGCUAGGGGGCCAUCCCGGCUUACCAACCCGAUGCAAACUGCGAAUACCGGAGAAUGUUAUCACGGGAGACACACGGCGGGUGCUAACGUCCGUCGUGAAGAGGGAAACAACCCAGACCGCCAGCUAAGGUCCCAAAGUCAUGGUUAAGUGGGAAACGAUGUGGGAAGGCCCAGACAGCCAGGAUGUUGGCUUAGAAGCAGCCAUCAUUUAAAGAAAGCGUAAUAGCUCACUGGUCGAGUCGGCCUGCGCGGAAGAUGUAACGGGGCUAAACCAUGCACCGAAGCUGCGGCAGCGACGCUGAUGCGUUGUUGGGUAGGGGAGCGUUCUGUAAGCCUGCGAAGGUGUGUCGUGAGGCAUGCUGGAGGUAUCAGAAGUGCGAAUGCUGACAUAAGUAACGAUAAAGCGGGUGAAAAGCCCGCUCGCCGGAAGACCAAGGGUUCCUGUCCAACGUUAAUCGGGGCAGGGUGAGUCGACCCCUAAGGCGAGGCCGAAAGGCGUAGUCGAUGGGAAACGGGUUAAUAUUCCCGUACUUGGUGUUACUGCGAAGGGGGGACGGAGAAGGCUAUGUUGGCCGGGCGACGGUUGUCCCGGUUUAAGCGUGUAGGUGUGUGUUCCAGGUAAAUCCGGUUCACUUUAACACUGAGGCGUGAUGACGAGGCACUACGGUGCUGAAGCAACAAAUGCCCUGCUUCCAGGAAAAGCCUCUAAGCAUCAGGUAACAUCAAAUCGUACCCCAAACCGACACAGGUGGUCAGGUAGAGAAUACCAAGGCGCUUGAGAGAACUCGGGUGAAGGAACUAGGCAAAAUGGUGCCGUAACUUCGGGAGAAGGCACGCUGACACGUAGGUGAAGUGAUUUACUCAUGGAGCUGAAGUCAGUCGAAGAUACCAGCUGGCUGCAACUGUUUAUUAAAAACACAGCACUGUGCAAACACGAAAGUGGACGUAUACGGUGUGACGCCUGCCCGGUGCCGGAAGGUUAAUUGAUGGGGUCAGCGCAAGCGAAGCUCCUGAUCGAAGCCCCGGUAAACGGCGGCCGUAACUAUAACGGUCCUAAGGUAGCGAAAUUCCUUGUCGGGUAAGUUCCGACCUGCACGAAUGGCGUAAUGAUGGCCAGGCUGUCUCCACCCGAGACUCAGUGAAAUUGAACUCGCUGUGAAGAUGCAGUGUACCCGCGGCAAGACGGAAAGACCCCGUGAACCUUUACUAUAGCUUGACACUGAACAUUGAGCCUUGAUGUGUAGGAUAGGUGGGAGGCUUUGAAGUGUGGACGCCAGUCUGCAUGGAGCCGGCCUUGAAAUACCACCCUU